RNAcentral lists this transfer RNA (24 nucleotides) under Leucophyllum laevigatum. RNAcentral's name for it is "partial tRNA-Phe". The record is from RNAcentral. Lineage: Eukaryota; Viridiplantae; Streptophyta; Magnoliopsida; Lamiales; Scrophulariaceae.
UCUACCAGCUGAGCUAUCCCGACC